AAAUGAACUGUCAAAAUGAAAAUUUUUUGUCAAAGGAGUCUGGUUGCUUUGAAGAGAGCAUAGAUAAUGGCUUCAGUUCCCUGUCAAAAAGAGCUGUUUGACUAAAAGGUAAAG
Etheostoma spectabile (orangethroat darter) is the source of this 114-nucleotide long non-coding RNA. RefSeq lists it as uncharacterized. Lineage: Eukaryota; Metazoa; Chordata; Actinopteri; Perciformes; Percidae. The transcript has 3 exons. The record is from RefSeq and is a predicted model, not a curated record.